UUAAGCUAAGAAGAGCGUAGGGAGAAUGCCUUGGCAUUAGGAGCCGACGAAGGACGUGAUAAGCUGCGAUAAGCUGCGGGGAUCAGCAAGUAUGAAUUGAUCCGCAGAUUUCCGAAUGGAGCAAUCCGUAUGUGUAUGCACAUACAUCAUAUACUGAAUCAAAUAGGUAUAUGAGGGGAACCGCCUGAACUGAAACAUCUAAGUAGGGCGAGGAAGAGAAAUCAACCGAGAUUCUGUGAGUAGUGGCGAGCGAAAGCGGAAGAGGCUAAACCAUAGGUAGCAAUACUUAUGGGGUUUCGGACAGCAUUUAGUAUUGAUAAUUUCUAGUUGAAACGUGUGGGAAAACGUACCGAAGAGUGUGAGAGUCACGUAAGCGAAAGAGAGAAUCAGCGAGCUGUAUCCAAAGUACCGCGGGACACGUGAAACCCCGUGGGAAGAUGGGGGGACCAUCCUCCAAGCCUAAAUACUACCUAAUGACCGAUAGCGAAUAGUACUGUGAAGGAACGGUGAAAAGAACCCCGGGAGGGGAGUGAAAAAGAACCUGAAACCCUAUGCUUACAAGCACCGAGAGCACGUCAAAGUGUGAUCGGGUACCUUUUGUAGAAUGGUCCGGCGAGUUAUUGUAUGCGGCAAGGUUAAGUGCUUAAGGCACGGAGCCGAAGCGAGAGCAAGUCUGAACAGGGCGAAAAAGUCGUAUGCAAUAGACCCGAAACCGGGUGACCUAUCCAUGGGCAGGCUGAAGUGGAGGUAAAACUCCAUGGAGGGCCGAACACACGUCCGUUGAAAAGGCCGGUGAUGAGGUGUGGAUAGCGGAGAAAUUCCAAUCGAACUCGGAUAUAGCUGGUUCUCUCCGAAAUAGCUUUAGGGCUAGCCUCGUGAAAGAUUACUGGAGGUAAAGCACUGAAUGGGCUAGGGGUCGAAAGAUUACUGAACCCUAUCAAACUAAGAAUGCCAGAUAAUUGAUUCACGGGAGUCAGACAAUGUGAGAUAAGUCUCAUUGUCAAAAGGGAAACAGCCCAGACCCACAGCUAAGGUCCCUAAACAUUGUUAAGUGGAAAAGGAUGUGGGGUUGCAUAAACAACCAGGAUGUUGGCUUAGAAGCAGCCACUCAUUAAAAGAGUGCGUAAUAGCUCACUGGUCGAGUGACCCUGCGCCGAAAAUUCAACGGGGCUAAACAAUGUACCGAAGCUUGGGAUUCUAGAUUUAUCUAGAGUGGUAGGAGAGCGUCGAAUAAGGGGUGAAGUCAGAGCGGAAGCGCUGGUGGACUUUAUUCGAGUGAGAAUGCCGGAAUGAGUAGCGAGAAUUAUGUGAGAAUCAUAAUGGCCGAAAAUCUAAGGUUUCCUGAGGAAGGUUCGUCCGCUCAGGGUAAGCCGGGGGCUAAGGCGAGGCGGAGACGCGUAGCCGAUGCACAUACGGUUGAAAUUCCGUAGCCACCGAAAGAUUUAAGUACAGGGACGCUUUAGAAGUGAUGUAGCCGGGCGAUGGUUGACCCGGUCGUAAGGGAUCGAAAAUGAGUAGAGAAGUCAUCAUGGAAAGAGACAAGAAAAGCUGUAUGAAUAUCUUAGGUGCCCGUACCGCAAACCGACACAGGUAGAUAGGAAGAAGAUUCUAAGGCCAACGGGAGAAGGGUUGUUAAGGAACUCGGCAAGUUGACCCCGUAACUUAGGGAUAAGGGGUGCUCAAGUGAUUGAGCCGCAGAGAAUAGGCCCAGGCGACUGUUUAGCAAAAACACAGGUCUCUGCUAAAUCGAAAGAUGACGUAUAGGGGCUGACACCUGCCCGGUGCCGGAAGGUUAAGAGGAGAUGUGAGAGCAUUGAAUUGAAGCCCCGGUAAACGGCGGCCGUAACUAUAACGGUCCUAAGGUAGCGAAAUUCCUUGUCAGGUAAGUUCUGACCCGCACGAAAGG
RNAcentral lists this ribosomal RNA (1906 nucleotides) under human gut metagenome. RNAcentral's name for it is "bacterial LSU rRNA". It matches the Rfam family "Bacterial large subunit ribosomal RNA", at positions 3 to 1999 of the family's 2925-position model. The record is from RNAcentral.